CCAAUUUUUAGGCCUAUUUUUAAUGGAUUUUUCAACCCUUUCAGCUGUGUAUAUUGACUGUAUAUCACAGUCUUUCUCGUCCACGUUUUGGAUGUAUACAUGUUGUAUACCAACUUGCAUAGUUGUUUACUUGCUUCUUCUCCCGUUUUUGCCCUUUUUGAGCUUGUAUAUCAGCUUUCCAGACCUGUAUAUGACGUAUAUCUGCUGUAUAUAUUUGUAUACAGCCUUGAGCUUCUUGAUUUCAGAUUUUUGGACUUGAAGGGAGCUCGGACUCGAUGACUCGGGCAUCUUUGGCCAUCAAGGAUAUGCGGGAAGGUAGAUUCCAAUGGACUCAUGCCAAUGUCACAUGAAAAGGAAAACAAUAACAGAAAUUAAUAGCAUGAAAGAACAAUUACAGAAUAAGCUUUGCCACCAAUUACUUCAUCAAUACAUGAAUCUGAUAAACAUGCAUUUAGUGAUCAUACAUACGAAAAUGCUUAAGGGGAAGGAGUAAAUUUUUCAACCACAAUCAAAUAUAUCACAUCAAGACACAACCUUCCAUAGAGCAUAUGUCAAAAUUCUCAACCGACUCAAAAUUGGACACUUUACUCAUCAAUUUCAAAAGGAGAUAACGAGCAAAAAGGGGACAUUAAAACAAAGGAUCACAAUAGCUGCCAUAGCUGACCCAUCCAUAUUUGAAAGAAUUAAUUAGCUAUCAAUAAGAAGAGAUACGUCUAAGUGCAUAUCAACCACACUUCUUGGAUAAUUUAGGCGGACACAGGGACAAGAAAUACACCAAGAAGAAAGUAGAAGGAAAUUGAUUUUCAUUAACUAGUUGUGACUCAGGCACGACAUUUUGAAGAAAGAAAAGCAGCAACAACAUUAUUUGACUCAUCCCCCAUCUUAAUACUUAAUAACAUACUUUAGUUAAGAGCAGAUAGUAAUUACCGAGGCUAAAACAUUCUUAAAAGCAUAUUUCACUCAGGCAGGCAUAAAACUAGUGAAACCAAAUUAUUCCCACUAAUCAGGGAAAAGGAUAAACAUAUGAUUCUAAUUUUUGCAAUACUAGGACACACAAAAAAAGAUCCAUUCCCCACUUUCUAACCCAUGGAUUCCCCGAUUUCGAUCUAAGAAGUGAAAAGAUGUACCUUGUAGAUCACUGUUAAUUCCAGAUUCAACUAAUCAAAAGGGGAAAAGUGUAGCUUGAGCCUUGGCUUUCAUCGCAAGUCAGAUAGAAUUAAAAGGAUACUUUGAGAACAGUGUGAGGGUAUGGAGAUGAAUCUACCCAUUCUCAAAUUAUUUCCUUCAUCUUUCUUAAUUGUUGUGAAGAUACAAAAAAACAAUCUGUGGAGAAAGUUCUUUUGCACCUAAAUGAAACUUUUCAACAACCUAUUUUCAUAUUGUGAAGCCAAAGGGCCACUCGAAGUCCAAUGCACGUCAUUCAAUGACUUUAAACAACUAACAAAAAAACGUAAGGCAUGAACAAAUGGCAGAGUAUAUGAUAUAGGUACUGAUCAAGCAGUAAACAGGUUAAACAAAUGAGAAAUGCAGACCAAUGCGGGAUAUUGAAUGGACUACAAGUUCUUUAAGUAAUGCUUAACAAGAAACUCGACAAAUUAGCAAAUUAUUACACGUUAACAGAUUAUUACACAACAUAAUCAAGUCGGAUGAAUAAACAAAUUUGACAGUAUUGGACUAAAACUACAACAACAACAACAAACCCAGUUAUCCUCACAUAGUGGGGUCUGGGGGGUAAGAUGUACGCAGUCCAUACCACAACUUCAGGAGAAGUAGAAAGGAUGUUUCCGAUGGAUCCCCGGCUCAAGACAAGGAGUAAUAAACAACUACUUAAUAAAGCAUGGAACAAGAUGUCAAGACAUAAAUACACCACCCACAAGGAAUAAUAAACAAAGAAUAGUAAACACAUUCGUAAUAAAGCAUGCAACAAAGUGUCCUAGCAAGAAUAAUACAUCUACCAAGUAAUGCCAUACCCCAACGACUUAAACUGGCACUAGCCUUCUACCCUAAUCCGCGUCCUCCAGAUCUUCCUAUCUAGGGUCAUGUCCUCAAUGAGAUGUAACUGCUCCAUGUCCCGCCUGAUCACCUCUCUCCAGUAUUUCUUCGUCCUACCCCUACCCCUACCACUACCUCACCUGAAACCAUCCAAAGCAAGCUUCUCACACCUACGAACCGGGGCAUCUAUGCCUCUCUUCAUCAUAUGCCCAAACCAUCUCAAUCGGACUUCCCGCAUCUUGCCCUCCACCGAAGCCACUCCGACCUUUUCCCAAAUAGUCUCAUUUCGAACUGUAUCACCCCAAUUGGACUAAAACUAAACAAUGUAAAAAUACUAAAUUAGUAUUUUAGAUGCAUCAGUAAAUCCAAAGAAAGAAAUAAAAUUAAAUGAUAACCACAUAACAAAAACAACAACGUUAACUCAACAUAACGAACACAAUCAACUAUUUCAGAAUUCUAUCACCGUCACAGCCCUCUACAACAAAUAAUCCCAACAUUCUCACCUAAUACCUUUCAAUAAAAACAGUAGAAAUAUAUAUAGAAAAUGAUUUUGGAGAUCAAUUUUACUCUUUGUCAAUCUGGGAAGUGUAAUUCGAGGGGCGAUUUAGGUAUUUUCAAAAAGAGGAUAAGGUUUGCCAACACAUUUUUUACGAAUUGAUACAAAGAAUUUUGAAUAAUUGAAGGAAUAAUCUUGUAGGAAUGAUACCUGGGCAGAUUAUAGAAGCCUCCGAAUUCGUGUUCGUACAAAAAUGUGUGAUAACCACAUGCUUUUUGGAAUUUGAGGCAUCUUUGCGUUACACUGGUUGUUGACGUGUUGGUGUUGUUUGUAUGCAUUUAAGUUGUUGUAAUCAGGUUUCGCCAUUGUUAUUCUGUGAUUACACUGGUUAAGGGUGGAAGAAGGAAAUUGGGUCGGGUCUUGGGGCGAUGAGUUUUGGGCUUGGGGCGACUAGGUAUUCAAGUGGACUGCUGGGUCAGGUAAUUGAUUAAUUAAAGGAAAAACUACAUAGCAUACUUAAGUAUUAAAUUACAAAAAAUAGCAACAUUUUAUCCUAAUUAUAUUAUGUACCAUUUGUAGCAUUAUUUUAACUGGUCUCCUACUUUUUGCCCCCUAAGAAAGUUACUGUGCUAAAAUUCCCCUUUUCACGCCAUCCUUAUUUUUCUUUCCUUAAUUUAAAAUUUUUAUUCCUUUUCUUUCGCCAUUAACGAUCUCAUCCACUUCAAAUUUUGUUCUUCUUGCACGAUUCUAGCACGAUCUGUGAUAAUGAUUUACUUUCUCUAUUUCAGGUAACUAUUAAUCGCAUAUUGCAUAUUAGCGGUUUCUUUUUUAUUCUACUGUAAUUCAACUGAAAAUCAGAUUUUAAGGGUUUUAUGUUUUAAUGGAUGAACAUACAGCAAAAACACCAACAAAUAGCGGUAUACGAAAUAUGAAUGUAGAGUUUGAUUAUGCACAAUCUUUUAGUCUUGGGUUAACUCAAGAAGAUUUAGUUAAAGUUGUUGUAAAUCCUAUACAGUUGAAGAAAUCUGGGAGAUCGAAGGAGAUUAGGUCGAAGUUUCGCAACGACCCAGUGAAGAUCAGUGAAAUUUUGAAAAUAAAAAGGGUUGAAGAAGGAGCAAAAAUUUUAAAAACGGUACGAAAAGAAAAGGAAAAUUGAAGAAAUUGAAAACGAUGUUCAAAAAUCUUAUGCUGAUGAUUCUGAAGAAGAUAGUGAGGAUGGAGUAUUUUUUUGUUUGUAAAUAUAUUUUUUUGACUGUUAAGUAUUGUGUUGUUCUAAAUAGGACAAUAAAGAUAUUAUCAAAGUUGUGAGUUAAAGAUAUAGGGCAAUAAGUACUGUUAAGUAUUGUGUUAACUACUUAUGAACUGUCUAUAGACUAUAUGUAUUUUUAGUAUAAUUGAAAUGUAUUUUUCAGUAUUGGUUGCAUUUUUUAUCUGCUUAAAAUACAUAUGCUUGUUUAUAUGAAUUUUUUUCUUAUCCGACUGUUCUUGUUCAGAUCAAGAAAUUAGCUGAGAUUAUCCCUUUGUGUCUCCAAGCUUGUGAUUUCUACAAUAAAAAAGGAAUUGAUCUUCAAAAUCAUUCAAGAUACAAAGACAAAGAUUAAUCAGAUCUGUUUGAUAUGAUAUUUGAAGAGAAUUUGUCUCAAUAACCGAGUGAAAGUUUGUAAGUUUUUAAUUUACAUAUACCAAAAUUGAAUGUUUGUACAAAAUAUAUUUUACUUAUAAAUAAAUAUUUUUUUCCUUGUUUUUGUAGGGAUUGUGGUCUCUUUAUGAUUACAUAUGCAGAGUGUAUUUCUUAUAGUCACAAAGUUAUUGCGAUUGAGUUCGAUCCCAACGCACUCCGUACAAGAUAUGCUGCACUUUUGUGGGACGAUGAGAUCCGAAAACAAUAAGCAAAUGCUCAUAGUGAUGUCGAAGUGCCCUUGAGGCCUGCAAGGCAAAGUAGAAUAACUAGUGUUACUGAAGUUUUUGAUGUAUGAUGAUUGAUGGAUUUAUUACUUUGUAUAGUUAGAGAAACUGGUGUACGGAUGUAGGUUCUGAUUGUACAAACUAAUUUUUAUGUUUUGAAGUUGUUCUAAUUGUAGUUUAUAAUAGUACUUAUUUUUAACUGAAUGAAAUUAAUUCUGAUUUGAAUUGGGUCUAAUUUUGAUUUGAAUUAAAGUUUAAUUUGAGUAUUUUAUGCAGUUAUAUAUUUUACUGUGAGAUUUAGUUAAAAAAAAAAUACAUAUGUAGUGUUCAUAUUAUGCUUAAAAAUACGUAUGCAGUAUCAAUCAAAAGUUUUUAUCCUAAAAAUACAUAUGCAGUGUUAAGAUUAAGCAUUUUUAAAAAUACAUCUGGACCAUAUCUAAUAUAUUUUUAAAUAUGUUUUCAUUUAUUAUCAAUAUAAAUGCGAAUUUGAAUUAAAUAUAAACUUGUGUUUUUUACACCUUGAUCAUAACUAAUAUAUAUUUUAAUCUGUGUUCAUUUAUUAUCAUUAUAAAUGAGAAUUUGAAUUAAAGAUAAAUUUGAGUUUUUUAUGCAGUUCUACAUUUUAUUGUGAGAUUUUAGUUACAAAAGAUACAUAUGUAGUGUUGAUAUUUUGCUUAAAAAUACAUAUGGAUUAUACGUCAAAAUAUUUUUUAGCAUAAAAAUACAUAUGCAGUGUUGAUAUUUUGCUUAAAAAUAUACAUGCAUUAUACAUCAAAUGUAUUUACCCUAAAAAUACAUAUACAGUGUUAAAAUUAAGCAUUUCAAAAAUACACCUUGAUAACAACUAAUAUAUAUUUUAAUAUGUGUUCAUUUAUUAUCAUUAUAAAUGAGAAUUUGAAUUACAGAUAAAUUUGAAUUACAGUUGAAGUUGUAAUGUGGAUCGGAGAUAAUCAUCUCAACCGUAUCCAUCUCAAAUACAUCUAAUGUAGUAGUUUCUUCAGAAACUACCAAAGCUCCUUCGUUGUAUGCACUUAAUACUGCUUGAAUGUUGUUAUAUCAGACUCUUCUUUCAGCAACACACACAGAUGAACUUGCAAAGUUACUCCCUACGACUUUCUCCAAAAUGCUUACAUAUAAAGGAAGAUAAUUUAUGUCUUGUAUAGCUUUUUUCUGCAACAUAAAAAUCUUUAAACCCAUAUCAUUGUGUAUUUGUAUUUGCCCUGUAUUACCAGUGAUUUGAUACUCCAUUAGAAUACGUUUGUUGGUUAAGUUCGCAUUUAAAUGUGAUGACAAAACAUCAUGCAGCUCAAUGAAUGAUGAUGUUGUGCUCAAAAGUAUAUCAUCAGUGACUUAAUCUUCGCAGUUUUUUCCAUACGUCCACCUACCAGAGUGCUUCACAAGAACUGCUAUGCUUCCCAUUUCUACAUGAUUUAACCAAAAAUAAACAAAUAUACAUAUUUAUCAGAUGUCACUUGUUUCACCACACACUUAUCGGCUUUAAGUGCAAACAAGUUUACACAACCAACAUCUCCAUUACAAAUACAACAAAAAUUUACAACAAAAUACAGAAACUACCGAAUCGAACACAAGUAAAACAGAUAUAAAGGAUAUUUUCAUGUACACUUUUCAGCUUUAAGUGCAAACAAAGUUCCACAACAUAUGUAUUUUUAGGCUAAAAAUAUAUUUAAACAACAUUUGUUUAAAGUAAAAUACAAACACAGAAAAAGUUUCUAACCAAAUACAUAAACUACUGAAUCGAACACAAGUAAAACAGAUAUAAAAGAUCUUUUCAUAUACAUUUUUCAACUUUAAGUGCAAACAAAGUUUCACAGCAUAUGUAUUUUUAGGCUAAAAAUACAUUUAAACAACAUUUAUUUAAAUUAAAAUACAAACACAGAAAAAGUUUCCAACCAAAUACAUAAACUACUGAAUCGAACACAAGUAAAACAGAUAUAAAAUAUCUUUUCAUAUAUACUUUUCAGCUUCAAGUGCAAACAAAGUUACACAACAUAUGUAUUUUUAGGCUUUAAAUACAUUUAAACAAUAUUUGUUUAGAGUAAAAUCUAAACAUAGAAAAAGUUUCCAACCAAAUACAGAAACUACUGAAUCGAACACAAGUAAAACAGAUAUAAAAGAUCGUUUCAUAUAUACAGUUAUACUCUUAAAUUUCGACAAGCAAAACAAAAAAAAUAGAAUUUCAUCACAUUGAAAAGCUAAUAUUCGAUCAUUCAUUGAUCUAGGAGUUUCGAAAAUAAUUGAAUAAACUUCAAAUCUAAAUUUGUUUAUAAUAUAUUCACAAUCGAUUAUACAACAAACGAUCCCCAAAACAAUAGUUGAAUUUUGAAGUUUUAAUAUCUGAAACAACUGUUAAGAUGAAAUUUGCAACAGAUUCUUGAAUUCCGAAGUUUUUUAUUCUAUAUGUUGAAUUUACUGCUGCAUUGCUUCUAACUCGAAAUUCAUUUACAAAUUUUUCAAAAACAAAUUAACGAGACAACAGAAACUAGAUAGGCACAUCAGUAAUGGUUAAAAAAAAUCAAACCAAAAAACAAUAAUGAUUAUGUACCUUAAACUGUAGUAAUGGUUGAAUUUCAACUGAUUGUUGAAUUCAAACAAAUUGAACUGAAGAAUCUACAAUUAAAUUUGAUUCAAAGAAAUUAAUGCAUCAUUUUGAAACUGCUGUUGAUUUCGAAGAAGAUUCAGUCGAAUUUGAUUCAACAACAACAAUGGUUGAAUUUCAGAAACACGGUUGGAUUAGAACAAAUUGCUCAGAAAAAGAUUUAGCAGAUUUUGAUAUUGAUUUUUUUUUUUCCAAUGAACUUGUUAAUGGAAAAAAGCUGAAAUUUGAAUUGUGUUUAGUGAUGUCAACAUAUAACGAAAAUAACGUUUUGUAAGAGGUUUAAAUGGAAAAGGAAUCUAUAAAUUUAAUUGAUUGGUAAUUAUACCAUAUUUAGCUCAACCAAUUUCAGUUAUUAAGGGCAGUAAAUUUAUUGUAUAUGUAUUUUUAUAGCAACAGUUUUUAAAAAUACAAAAUACAAGUUGCUACAAAAUGUAAUUAUGAAACUGUUGCUAUAAAACUAAUAAUUAGAAUCUUAAGUAUGCUAUUUCGGAAUUUUGCCCUUAAUUAAAUGAGGGGAGGGUAAAAAAUUGGUCAUUUAUAAAAUAUCCGAAUAAGAUUAAAAUUCAGUCGAGUUUUUUUAAAUUUUAACCAAAUUGAAUAUCAAUUGGUCAAUUGUAUUGCAAUUGUAAAAAAAGGCAGCCAGGUGAACUAAAGCUACCGCUAUGCGCAGUGUCCGGGGAAGGGCCCCACCACAAGGGUGUAUCGUACGCAUCCUUACCUUGCAUUUCUGCUAAAGGCUGUUUCCAAGGCUUGAACCCAUGACCUCCUAGUCACAUGGCAACAACUUUACCAGUUACUCUAAGGCUCCCCUUCUGUAUUGCGAUUGUGGUCAAUUUAAUUUUAAUUAUAGCCAAACUCAAUAAAUUGACAAAAUUGAAUCAUAGCCUAAAACAAAUUAACGACUGAUUCAAUCUCGAGUUUCUUAGUUUAAUGAAAUCAAACACAUAUUUUUUUGAAUAAUUCACUUUUAAGAGCAAAUCAAAUUUGAAACCCAAAAUCUAUCCUAUUUGAACAAAUUUUCAGGAUGAAUUAAAUCCAAUUUACUAAGUCACAAAAUUAUAUAAUAUCAUAUACAUGAAUACAGAAAUGCAUAAUAGUUACUUAACUAACAAAAUAGACCCAAAUAAAUAUUUCAGAAUGCUUUUAUCCGAAUAAUAUAAUUAUUUUAAUUUGUUUAAAAUGGGAGCAACUCGAUAUUAGACCUAGUUAUGGUGGGCAAAAAUUAGGUGUCAACAACUGCUCCCUUUGGGUAGGGUGGAUGCAAGUAACCUUGGGCAAAGGGAGUUUGACGUUUCUAAUUUUGUUCGACCAUAAAUUUAUUUCUUAAAAGAGGUUGGCUAUUGCACGAGUAUCAAGAAUUAUGGUCGUCCCUCGGUAUGAGGUUUCCAUAUAUUUUAGGUUUCAUGAGAAUUCAGGUCAUCUGUAGUUCAUAACAUUUAAUUUUUAAAUACGAUUUUCAAAGAAUUCACAAGCUAUCCCAAUUUUUAAAUUUUAGUAAAACUGAAAAGCCAGAGAAUAAGAGGAUUGGGGAGAGGUUGGAAUACAAUCGAGUUUUCAACAUAGAGUCCAGCCUACGUAUCCCCUGGGAUUUAGGAAAUCAGACUGCUUGUAGUUUGACAUGAUCGGUAAAAAAGAUAGUCUUUUAUUUUAGACUAUCUUUGGCUUGGGAUGAGUGACAAGUUGUUUGAUCUAUGGAAAAGAGGUUUGUAACCUCUAAAUCAUGGUGUAGCUCUUCACAUCCAUAGGUAAGAAUUCACCUGGACAUAAUUCCCAAAGCUCUGAGUGGAGCUAUGAAAGAACUUUUUGGUAGAACUCCCCAAAACGACAUUGAGUUUUCAAAAAUCCUUCAUUGAAUGUCAGACAUAGUUGAGUCUCAAUAGAAAGACGUUCAUUGAGCUAGUAUAUGACAUGACUGGCAGAGAUUUUAUAAAAACUUUUGCACAAGUUCUUGAAACUAAGUUUUCAAAAAUCAAAAUUAGUUUUGAAAAUCUAUAUACAUUUUCUACUUAACUAGUUUUACCUAACAUCUAUUGAAAUGGGGAGUCAGAGAGAAAGUCCAAAUAUGACGAAACAUUCGAAAGAUGGAAAGGAGUAAACCAAAGAUCAAUGGAGGUAACAUAGCAUAGUUUCACUCAAAACUAACAUUUUUUUAUGGAUGCAGGGAUCAAUGCACAAAAUGGGGAUCUUCAUUAAAAAUCCCCAAGAGAAUCUAGAACUACACCAAAGCAUAUAAUGCUCAAGAACGGUAUUUUUGGGUAGCCCCCAAAGAUAGGUUAAAUUACCCAUUUAUCAAGGACCUUUUGAUUUAUCUAUAUCAUUUCAAGAGAUCGUGGAUGACAAAUAAAUAUGUCUUAUCCUAUUUAUGAAUAUUUUAUUUAGAACUUUUCUAAAAAUAGUCUCUAUCAAAAGAAAAUAUAUGUAUACUAAAUAUUUACCCUGAGCACAUAUGUAUUCAAAGGAUCUGGCAAUAAGGACGCAAUCAAAAAGAUCAUUCAAUAGGAGGAAGAGCAGAAAAGUCAUCAUCAAAUUUUCCCUGAGGCAAAAUGAAGAUACUCGAGUGGUACCCAAAAAGGUAUUUUACCCAUUUGCUUACAUCCGGUGGAUUUAUUAUUUAAAUAUUUUUUUUAAAAAGAUGAAUAGCAGACUAUGCCAUUCAGAUUAUUUGUUUAAACUAUCAUAAAGUUUGACUGUGGUCGCCAGCGAGAGCAACAUUGUGUGUGCUAACUAUCUACCUUGAGUACAAGUACAUGUAGAAAGCAAGAACCCGGAGAAACAGACCUAGGUGGAGGUUCUCUUUAAACCACUAAGAGGGUUGUUGCAUCCCAGUAUAUUCCAUUGCAUUCCAUCGACGAGAUAGCCAUGUCGAGAGGGUCAUUUCAUUCUAUUGAUGCAGCUUAUAGAGAACCCUCGAAUCUUUAAUUUGGUAAUCUCGCAUAUUCUCCGGUAAAAAUUUAGUUGUGACUUAUGGAUUACCUUCGGAUGAUUGAUUUUUGGAUAACCUUGCAUACUAUCCAGUUAGGAUGCUUUUGUGGCUUACCGAUGACCUGUGGACUAUUAACCAUGGGUAAUCUCUCACACUAUCCUAUCUCAAAUAAUGUGACUUAUAGAUGACCCUUGGAUUGUAAUUUUUUGGGAAGUCCAAUAUGUUAUUCUCUUUUAGAUAACGACUUAAAGACGUCCUUCAAAUCAUGUGCUUUUGAUGCAUUCAGUACUGAUUAAUAAAAUGCUGAAAUAUCCUCGACGCUGGGAUAUAUCACCUUUGCGUGGUCGACAGAUAUAAAAUGCUGAGAUAUCCUCGACCCCAGAUUAUGCUAUCUUCAUGUGGUAAACGGAUACAGGCGCUCCAAAACAUAUUCCAAAGCCAGACCCUAUCAUUUUGAAUAGUGAGUAAUUACGGAGAUGUAGUUGAAUGGUAUGAUGGCCCUCUUGGAAAUGAAAUAGCAUGGAAUGAAAUGACCCUCUCAAUAAUAGCAUGAGAGGAAAUGACCCUCUCGGCGGUAGAAUAAAAUGUCUUUCGUGGAAUGGGCCUCUAGAUGAUGAAAUAAAAUAACUCUCUCGGCAUGGCCUUCUUGGUGAUGGAAUGAAAUGACCCUCUCGACAGUGAAGUACAAUGGAAUGUAUUGGGAUACAAUGACUCUAUCUACUAUUCAAAGAGAACCUCUACCCAGGUCUCUUUCUCAGCAUUUUUGCUUUCUAUAUGUACCUAUACUCAUGGUAGAUAGUUAGUAGACAUAAUCUCUCUCUCAUAGGCGAACACAAUCAAAAUUUAUGAUAGAAUAAAUGUCUAAUCAAAUGGCUUAGUCUGCUAUUCAUUUUUUUCUUUUUCGAAAAGUAUUUAAUCAAUAAAACGGAUGUAAACAAAUAGGUAAAAUUCUUUUAAGGAUACCACUCGAGUACCAUUUGCUUCACCUCAUGGAAAAUUUGAGGAUGCCUUUUUUUGUCCUUCCUCCUAUUGAAUGAUCCUUUUGAUUGCUUCCUUAUUAUCAACUCUUUUGAAUGCAUCUUUGCACAAGGUAAAUACAGAGUUGCUUAUGCUAGUGACUAUUUUUAGAAAAAUUUUAAAUAAAAUAUUCAUAAAGAGGAUAAGAAGUCUUUGUCUGUCAUCCAUGAUCUCUUGAAAUAAGAUAGAUAAAUCAGAAGGUCCUUGAUAAAUAAUUGAACACGUCUUUCGGGGCUACCUAAAAAUAUCAUUCUUGAGCAUUAUAUGCUUUGGUGUAGUUCUUGAUUCUCUUGGGGAUUUUUAUUAAGAUCCCCAUUUUGUGCAUUGAUCCUUGCAUCAACAAAAAAUGUUAGUUUUGAGUGAAACUACUCCGUGUUACCUCGUUCGAUCUUUGGUUUGCUUUUUGCCAUCUUUCUUGUGUUUCGUCAUAUUUGGACUUCCUCCCUAGAUCCCUAUUUCAAUAUAUGUUAGGUAAAAACUAUUUAAGUAGAAAAUGUAUAUAGAUUUUCAAAACUAAUUUUGAUUUUUGAAAACUUAGUUUCAGAAACUUGUGCAAAAGCUUUUAAAAAAUCCUUGCCAGUCAUGUCAUGUACUAGCUCAACGAACGUCUUCCUCUUAAGGUUUGACUAUGUCUAACAUUCAAUGAAAGAUUUUUGAAAACUCAAUGUCGUUGCUGGGGAGUUCUACCAAAAAGUUCUUAUCAUAGCUGGAGAUUUUAGUUGAAAUUUUGAGGAUUUUAUCAUAAUUUCUCCCCAAGUUUGAUAUUGUUUGAGAUAAUUUUCAUUAACCAGUUGGGAGUCAGACACGACAUUUUGAAGAAAGAAAAGCAGUAACAACAUUAUUUGACUCACACCCCUACCUUUAUACUUAAUAGCAUAGUUUAGUUAAGAAUAUUAAUUACCGAGGCUAUAAACAUUCUUAAAAGCAUAUUUCACCCAGGUAGGCAUACACAUAAAACUAGUGAAACCAAAUUAUUCUCACUAAUCUGGGAAAAAGGAUGAACAUAUAAUUCUAAUUUUUGCAAUACUUGGACAUAAAAAAAAAGAUUCAUUCCCCACUUUCUAACCUAUGGAUUCCUAAAUUUCCAUCUAAAAAGUGAAAAGAUGGACCUUGUUGAUCACUGUUAGUUCUAAUUUCAACUAAUCAAAAAAGAAAGAGUGUAGCUCGAGUCUAGGAUUUCAUUACAAGUGAGAUAGAAUUAAAAAGAUACUUUGAGAACGGUGUGAGGUUAUGGAGAUGAAUUUACCCAUUCUCAAAUUCUUUCUUUCAUCUUUCUUAAUUAUUGGAUACAAAAAAAUAAUGUGGGAGAAAGUUCUUUUGCACCUAAAUGAAACUUUUCAACGACCUAUUUUGGUAUUGGGAAUCCAAAGGGAUACUCAAAGUCCAAUCCUUAUCAUUCAAUGACUUUAAACAACUAACAAAAAACAUAUAAGGGACGAACAAAUGGCAAGGUAUAUGAUAUAGGUACUGAUUAAGUAGUAAACAGGUAAAAUAAAUUAGAAAUUCAAACCACGAGGGAUAUUAAAUGGACUACAAGCUCUUUAAGUAAUGCUUGAUAAUGAACUCUACAGAUUAGCAGAUUAUUACAAAUUAACAUAUUAUUACACUAUAUACUCAAGUCGAACGAAUAAAUAAAUUUGACAGUAUUGAACCAAAACUAAACAAUGUAAAAAGGACUAAAAUAGUGUUUUAGAUUCAUCAAAGAAUCCAAAGAAAGUAAAAAAAUUGAACAAUAACCACAUAACCAAAACAUCAACGUUAACUUAACAUAACUAACACAAUCAACUAUUUCAAAAUUCUAUGGCCUUCACAACCCUCUGCAACAAAUAAUCCCAACAUUCUCACCUAAUUUGAGAUUCCAACAACAACAAUACACUACGACUAAGUCUAGUCAAAAAAUAAGAGUCAAGGCCUACAGACACAAAAAAGAAGAAAGUGCAAAAAAAAAAUGAAGUCUUUACCUUUUUCAGAGCAGCAACCCGGAAUUUAUCAGCUUCGUCAGAUUUUCUUCGCACCACCAGUGGAAACCGAACUCGAUUUCUCAUCGUAUAAUUUCAAGCUCAAAUGAGUAUUAUCGAAUUUCUUAGCACCAAAAUUUUCCUCGAUAGCAAAAUCCAAUGCUUUUCGAGAUUCCUGCUACCUCUAACCUUGUUCAAUAAAAACAAUAGAAGUAUAUAUUAAAAAUAAGUUUGGGGAUCGAUUUUAGUCUUUUUAAUGUGGGAAGAGUAAUUUGGGGGACAAUUUAGUUAUUUUUGAAAAGAGGAUAAGGUUUGCCAACGCAGCUUGUAUGAAUCGAUACAAGGAAUUUUAAAUAAUUGAAGAAAAAAUCCUGUAAAAAUGACACCUGGGCAGAUUCUAGAAACCUCCGAAUUUGGGUUCAUACAAAAAUGUGUGAUAAUCACAUGCUUCUUCGAAUUUUAAGGUAUCGUUUGGGUUACACUGGUUGCUGACAUCGUUAGGGUUGUUUGUAUGCCUUGAAUCUGUUGGAAUCAAGUUUUGUCGUUGUUAUUCUGUGAUUACACGAGUUAAGGAAGGAAAAAGGGAAUUAAGUUGGGUCUUGGGGCGGUGUGUUUUGGGCAUGGGGCGGCUGGUUAUUCAAGUGGGCUUCUGAGGUAGGUUAUUGAUUAAUUAAAUAGAGAAAGGUAGAAAUUUGAUCAUUUAUAAAAUAGCCAAAUUAGAUUAAAAAUCUAAUUGAGUUUAUUAACCAAAUUGGUUAUCAAUUGGCCAAUUGCAUAGCAAUUGUGGUUAAUUUGAUUUUAAUUAUGGCAAAUUUACUUAAUCAACAAAAUUGAAUGAAAGCAUGAAAUAAAUUAACGAUCGAUUCAAUCUCAAGUUUCUUGGUUUAAUGAAUCGAACACAUAUUUUUUGAAUAAUUCACUUUUAAGAGCAAAUCAAAUUUGAAACCCAAAAUUUAUCCUAUUUGAAUAAAUUUUCAGGAUGAAUUAAAGCCGAUUUAUUAAGUAACAAAAUUAUACGGUAUUGUAUACAUGAAUACAGAAAUGUAUAAUUAUUACUUAACUAACAAAUAGAACCAAAUGUAUAUUUUAGAAGAUUUAUAACUGGAUGAUAUAAUUAUUUUGAUUUUGUUUAAAGUCGAAGCAACUUGAGAUUAGACCUAGUUGUGGAUGAAAAAAAUCAGGUGUUAACAACUUUUCCAUCCCUUUGGGUAGGGUGAAUUCAAGUAACCCUGGGCAAAGAGAAUUUGACGAUCCUAAUUUUGUCCGACCAUAAGUUCAUUACUUGAAAGAGGUCGGUUUCUGCAUAAGUAUCGAGAAUUAUGGUCGGACCAUGAUAUUAGGUUUCCUACAUAUCCCAGGUUCCAUGAGAAUUCAAUCCACUUGUAGUACGUACCGCUUGAUUUUUAGACACAAUUUUUAAAAAAUUCACAAGCUAUCUCUAAUUUUAAAUUAAAGUAAAAUCAGAAAGUUGGGGAAUAAGAGGAUUAGGGGGAGGUUGGAAUGCAGUUGGGUUUUCAACAUAGAGCCCAGCAUACGUAUCUCCUAAGAUUUAGGAAAUCAAACUGCUUGUAGUUCGACUCAAUCUGUAUAAAAAAAGUCUUUUAGGUUAGACUAUCUUUGGCUUGGGAUGAGUGACAAGUUUUUUGAGCUAUAGAAAAGAGGCUUGUAACCUCUUAACCAUGAAUGUGGAGAUCUUCACAUCAAUAGAUAAGAAUUCACCUGGACAUUAUUUCCAAUGCUUUGAGUGCAUUGUCACUCGCAUUUGAAGGAAAUAAAAGGUUACCUCUAGUAUAAAUUUAGAAAUAUCCCAGAAGUAAAUCUAAAACUAGAAUAUCUCAAAUUCCCACAUUCCUUUAAAUAAGAGUGUCGUUUUAUGAUGUGGCAAUCAUUUUUUAGCUCGUCCAAAGAGUUUGACAUCUUUCUCUAGAUUACAUCCCGAUUUACUGCUAAGAAAAAGUUAUGUGCUGUGCUGCAUCCUUUUUAGAGUCGUCUGCACGUAUGGUUUUGGUUUGAGAUUUUCAUCCUCUCGGAUUAUGUCGGCAAUAUCUCAAAAAAAAAUUAUUAGCAAUAAACAUAAUUCUUAAAAGGGUAUAUUCUUUUACCAUAUCUCCGUGUAAGUUGUUUAUCUAAAAAGUGAAGUCGUCCUUUCAUGUACCUUUUUGAAGGGAAAUAAUAUUUGCAGCAAUGGUCACAAAAACCCUCUUGGUUGAUGAAUAAAAUAGCUCUUUUAUUGAUUGAACAUUUCUUCAAAGUGGGGUGACCCUGUUGGAUACCGAUGAAACUUUGUAUAGAAUGAUCCCUACAACUGCGUAAUCUUAUGCUGAGGUGGCAACCCUUUUGGUCACCCAUAUUGCCUUUUGUAUGUGGAAUGAUAACAUCUUCAGCUAUCAAUAAUGAUAGUUUGAAUGUGACCUCGGGUAAGUCUAGUGCAUCUUUUGUAUUGAUACGACUUAUAGAUAUCCCUUGAAUUGUCAACCUUUGGAUAAUCUUGUGCAUCAUUCGAUGUUGGAUAUGAGGCAACUUAAAUCUAUCCUUUGAGUUGUUAGAUUUUUUGGUAAUCCUUCACAUUAUCCGACCUUAUAUAAGAGAUGACUUACAUAUAUCCCUCGAAUUGCAAGCUCUCGGGUAUUCCUUCACAUCAUCCGACCUUGGAUACAAUAUGACACAUAGAUAUCUCUCAAAUUUCUAGUCUUCGGGUAAUCCUGUGCAUAACCGAUCUUAGAUAUGAUAUGGCUUAUAGAGAACCCUUGGACCUAUUACUUAGGUAAUCUCGCAUAUUCUUCGAUAAGUAUUUAGUUGUGACUUAUGGAUAACCUUUAGACUAUCGAUUUUUGGGUAACCUUGCCUACUAUCCGGUUAGGAUAUUAUUGCGGCUUAUGGAUGACCUAUGGACUAUUAAUUUGAUGGGUAAUUGAUAAUGCCCAAACUACACCUUCAACCUAAAGAUUAUGCGGUUGUUGUCAAAUAUAGUAACCCAACAAAGAUUGGAGUCAAAUCCUAAGAGAAUACAUGUAAUUGCGGCUCUCAACUGAUGUAAUUCAACGGACAGAAUUGGAAAAGUAAAUGGGGGAUUGUAUUGUCAAUAUCAAACAAGUAGCUAAUAUCAACUUUGGUUGUAAUAAGUUGUCGGUGAACACUAGGAUUAUGUUCCCCCUGGCUUCUCAACUCUGUAGGAUUAUCGUGCUUUAUUGAACCAAAUCGAUACCUUACAUGCAGAAUUUGAUAAGUUAUGUACCACCAACCGUCUUUUGGACUAGUUGAUAGAUUUCGCCCUUUAACUUUUGAGUCUUAGCAUGUCACCUUACUAACCCUUAUCCUAGAUCCCCAUUAACUAUUACCUUUUGAGUCUAUAGCCAUUAGAUGACAGCUAACUAUCUUACUUAGAUAAUACCUAAUAACAUAGGUCAUAGUUAAACUUCAAAUUACUGUAAUAAUUAUCUUUUCCUAGUCACUACUCCUCUUUUGGAGUAAGUAGCAAUAAUCUAGGCAGGAUCCUAACAUUUUUAACCGCUAAGAUAGUUGUUAAAGUGAAGAUAAUACAAUACAUGUAUAGGUAUUGGUUCAAAACAGCAUAGCACUUCCCCUACUUCGUCAAUCCGCCAAGGUUUCCACAACUCUAGCUAAGGGUUUCUAGCCUCUCAUGCUUGUGAAGUAAUCAACAACAUUCAUUAUUGAAAGCAUAAGUUGUAAUCACAAUAAGCACAACUAAAAAUCCAAAAUUUCAACUGAAUUAAUCAAUCAUAAUCAAUACAAGAGAAUUCCAAGACCAAAAUCUAAUCUUAGAAUCAAAAUAUGUUUGUAAGUAUUAAGUGUGCGUCACUUCUACUACAAAACGCAUAAAGGGUAUUUAUAGUACAUGAGAAAAACCUAAAAAUCAAAGCCCAAACCAAAAAGGAUAAAAUAGGUCGGUGGCCACUUACCUAUGUCCACAUGCGGUCUGCCAGUGGGCGCAUGUACUAUAUUCAGUCCACAUGUAGACCCAGGUAAGUGCCAAAUGAAUUUCUUGCUCUAUUUAUUCUCGAGAUUUUGGACUUCUGGUACUUACUUUACCCACAUGCGGUCUGCAUGUGCCACAUAUGGUUCACAUGUAAACAUAGGUAAGUGCCAGAAGUUCUUCUUCGGCUUUUUCACUCUCUAGAUCUUUAAUUUUGGUACUUACCUUAGUCACAUAUGGACCACAAGUGCUGCAUGUGGUCCACAUGUAGACAUAGGUAAGUGUCAAGCCUUCCAAUUCUUGCAAUCAAGCUUCCAAACUUUAAGUUUCAGCAUAUGUUUUUGUCAUGUACAUCCGAUAAAUGUUACAAAUGCCAAAAAAAUGAUCAUGGAAGUAGACAAAAACUCCAUUUUCAUCUUUUUCUUGAUUUUAGUAUACAAAACCUAGUUUUCUGCAAAACAUACCCAAAACACAUCAUAUCUAACAAAAUAACCUCUAAGAAACUUACAUAUUUUCAUUGUUUUAAGCAUCGAAAGUGCUAUAUUUCUAUACCACAUCGACACCCUCAACUUAGAAUGUUUGCAUGUACUCAGGCAACACAACACAACACACCAAAAUAAAACACGACACUUAACUAGGAGAAUCUAAGCUAUCCAAGGCAAUCAAUCAACACUUUAAGUUCAAAACAUAAUACCCUCUCCUAUUUCAACUUUUCAAAAACCAAUUGCGUAUAAACAUAAAGCACAACAAUGUGACACAAUGGGAUCAAGGCGUGGCAUUACAUUACAACAGAUAAUAAUGCAUGUAUAUACAAGUUACACUACCUAAAAUAAGUAAGCGGCUUGCAAUAUGACUCAUGUGCGCUCACAACAAAGGAGUCCCACUCACUCAUAUGAAAUAAUGCAUGUCAAUGAAGGGACAGUUAAGAGAUACUCACACUCAAAAGAGAAGUUCUAAUCAAUGUGAAUUAAAUACCAUAGGCUUUCCCUUGUUUUCUUUACCUUAAAAUUUAGAUAGUCAAGUUAGGAUCACUAUAGGACUUUUCUCAGCUUGUAAUAUAGGCUUGGGGGGCUGGUAUGGUAUGGAUAUCAAGUGACUAAGCCUCUUUGGAACUACAUUAACUUUGGGGUCCACUAAUUAACCAUCUUUUUUUCUAUUCCACCCUUAUUUCUCCAUUUUUAUUCUUUAUUGCACAUUCAGGUUGGGUGUGGUCUUUUUUCUUUCAUUUUUACUUUUUCAUAAUUUUUCUUUUUUCUUUUUUUUUUCUACCACACCUAGUCCUACUAACUUUUUCUCUCAUUUUACCCUUCUACACACCCACUUUAUAUCACACACCCUUAUGAUAACCACCUUCAACUUAGGCGAUUUGCUCAAGUUGAGGUGAACAUUGUCGAAGGAGGAAGGGGACAAAAUAGGUUAUUGCAACACAAAUAGAAAGGUGAAAGGUGAAACAAAAAAAUAAGCUAUAAGGCUCAAACUUAGGUAUCAAGGGAUACAAUUUACACAAAAAAGUGGACUAACAUAAAAAGCGGCUAGUGAUCCUUGCCUAACCAACUAUUCUUUAACUAGGCAAGACUAACCGGGCAAGUUCUAUUUUUAACACACAACGGGAACUUAAGUAGUAUCUCACACACGCAUGACAUAGAGUCAAUAUUACAAACUAUUACUUAUCUGAUUCAUGCAACUGUUAAGAAGUGAUUAUCAUGUUCCCAAUCCUAAUGCCAUAAUAAGAUCCACAAUAUUCACACAUAUAUACAUUGACACAAUUCUAAAAUUUUGACGGGGUAUCAUUUUUCUCAAAAAUCAAUCAAAAACAUGACAACUACCCUAAAUACUGAAAAUCUCCUAAUUACACAAAAACACAACACAAUACAAAAUGAAACACAAUACGAUACAAAUUUUAUCCUAGACAUGCUAAUUCUACUAUCACAUCACGGCGACAAGAAAAUAAGUAUGGCAACAAAAACUAGUUGCCGUUAUGGUAUAGCCCACCCCAACUAAGAGACUACACAUUGUCCCUAAUGCGUUAAAAUAAUAUAAAACAAAGGGAAUGAGGACAUAACCAGGAUGCAUUAAGCGUCCUACACCUUGGGUUACCUCUCAAGUAGUGGCUGAUUUAUUUUUGCGGCAUGACUCAAUUGCCUUGGCUACUCAAACUUCACUAAGGUCUAUAUCAACACAAACUUUUACUUCCUCCUAGUUCCCAUCUAGUGCUUCACUCACUGCAUAUUCACCUUGGACAGGAUUUCACCUUCACGCUUUAUUUCUAUACCACCAUGUGGGAAUACCCUAACCACAGUGAAUGGUAUAGUCCACCUAGAUUUCAACUUGCUUAGAAAUAAGUAGAGUCUUAAAUUAUAUAAGAAGAUCAAAUCACCGGGUUUAAAUACCCUUUUCUCAAUUUUUCUAUCAUGAUACAACUUCAUUCUUUCUUUGUAUAUGGCCGAGUUCUCAUAAGCAUGGAGUUGUAAUUCAUCUAACUAAUUUACCUUUCUCAACCUCAAGUUUGCUGUAUCACGCCACUCAAAAUUUAGCUUUUUCAACGCCUAUAGUGCCUUAUGCUCAAGCUCAACUGCUAACUGGCAUGCUUUGACAUAUACAAGCUGAUAUAUAAAGGCACCUAUGGGGGUAUUAUAGGUUGUUCGAUAGGCCCAUAAUGCAUUGUCUAAUUUUCUAGACCAUUUAGUCCUGCUGGCAUUCACAGAUUUUGCUAAUAUGGACUAUAUCUCUCCAUUGGAGACCUCAACUUGCUCGCUUGUCUGAGGAUAGUAAAGCGUUGCCCCCUUAUGCCUUACACUAUAUCUAUUAAGCAUGACUUUAAAUAAGCGGUUGGAAAAAUGAGACUCACCAUCACUGAUAAUUGCAUGUGGAGUGCCAAAUUGAGAAAAGAUAUUUUUCUUCAAAAAAGUGGUGAAAGUUCUACCUUUAUUGUCUAGAAGCGCAAUUACCUCCACCAUUUUGACACAUAGUCAACUGCUACCAGAAUAUAUCUCAUGCCAUAGAAGCUCACGAAUGGCCCCAUGAAAUCAAUCCCCCACACAUCAAACAACUCCAGCACCAGAAUAGGUAUCAUGAGAGCUUAUGAUGCCAUAAAAUAUUGCCUUGAUGCUGACAUUGUCAUAGGAUUACGCAAAUCAUAAGAAUCUUUAUAAAUUGUAGGCCAGUAAAAUCCCCACUGCAAAAUUUUAUGGGCUGUGUGAGUACCAGUAUGGUAACCCUCAACUGGGGAUGAAUGACAUGCUUCCAGAAUGCUCAUUAUCUCCAUCUCUGGGAUACAUCUAUAAAUUACACCAUCAGCAUAAAUCCUAAAUAGAUACGACUCAUCACAAAAGAACUUCCUCACCUCAUGCAUAAAUCUACUUCGCUGCUGGAAGGAUAGAUCUUCUGGGACAAAGUCGAUUGCCAAAUAGUUGGCAAAAUUAACAAGUAGGGGAAUUAAGUCUUGAGAUACCGCUAAGACCCGCUCAUCUGGAAAAGUAUUAUCUAUCUCAAUAUCAUCCCUUAGUUUCUGCAUUGCCUCAUCCUCAAGUCUUGAUAAGUGAUCUGCAGCCUGAUUUUUUAUCCUUUUCUGGUCUAUCACUUCAAAAUCAAACUCUUGCAGCAAGAGAACCCAAUGAAUCAAUCUUGGUUUGGAAUCUUUUCUUGACAUCAAGUACCUCAAGUUUUCAUGAUCAGUGUGAACUAUGACCUUAGUCCCAAUCAGAUAAGACCAAAAUUUUUCUAAGGCCAAAAACACCGCAAGUAAUUCUUGCUCUGUAACUGUAUAAUUUUUUUGUCUGGGGUUUAAAGCCUUGCUGACAUAGUAGAUGGGAUGUAGGAUCUUUUAUAUUCUUUGGCCUAGGACAACACCCAAGACUACUCUACUUGUAUCACACAUAACUUCAAAAGGUACAGACCAGUCAUAAGAUACAAUAAUAGGCGCUGAAAUCAACCACUUUUUUAGGAAUUUAAAAUACAAAUUUCACCUCUUUAUCCAAAAGCUUGCAUAGAGGAUUUUCAAUUUUAGGGAAGUCCUUGAUGAACCUCCUAUAAAAUACUGCAUGGCCCAAAAGCUUCAUAUGUCUCUAACUGACACUGGCGGUGGAAAUUUUUGAAUUACUUUAAUCUUAGCUUUGUAUACUCAAUACUAUGUUUGGAGAUCUUAUGCCCCAGAAUUAUACCUUCUUUCACCAUGAAGUGGUAUUUUUCCCAAUUCAGCACUAAAUUGCACUCUUCACAUCUCUGCAGUGCACUGACCAAAUGGGCCAAAUAAUCAUUGAAUGAGUCCCCAACUACUGAAAAGUCAUCCAUGAAUACUUCAAUCGUGUCCUCUACCAUAUCAAAUAAUAUAGACAUGAUGCAUAUUUGAAAAGUGGUAAGCAUGCUUCAUAACCCGAACGACAUUCUCUUGAAUGCCAAAGUCCCAUAGAGGAAAGUGAAAGUAGUCUUUUCUUGGUCCUCAGAAUCAAUCGUGAUUUGAUUGUAACCCGAGUAUCCGUCAAGAAAACAAUACCAACCCCUGUUUUCUAGUCAAUCCAACAUCUGAUCCAUGAAAGGCAUAGGGAAAUAGUCCUUCUUCUUCCAAAUAUUCAACUUUCUGUAAUCCAUCCAGACUCUCUAACUAGUCACUGGCCUCAUUGGUACUAAUUUAUUUUUUUCAUUGGGAACCACUAUGAUUCCCCCUUUCUUCGAGAUGCAUUAAAUCAGGAUUUCCCACUUGCCGUCUACAAUAGGUAAAACCACUAUAAUAUCUAACCACUUUAUUAUUUCUCUUUUCACCACCUCCUGCAUCGGAGGGUUUAAUCACCUCUAGUUCUCAAUACUGGGAAUGCUAUCCGGCUCAAGCUAUAUCUUAUGUGUUCAUAUACCUGGUGGAAUACCCACAAUGUCUUAAAUGGUCCACCCAAUAUGUAACACCCCAAAAAUGGGUCCCAAGAUAUUUCAUGAUGUCCCGAGAUGUUACAUGGUGCUUAGGACCAUAAGUGAUCCCAAGCUAACCUUUGUACUGGCAUAAUGCUAAGCAACUGAUUUACAUAUGUAUAAAAUGAUUUAAGUUACUUUGAGGAAAUAUAUUCAUGAUGAAAUCUAGAAAAAAAUACAAUACUUCUACAAUUUUGCAUUCUGAUAAAACUAAAGAGUAGAACUAAAAUUACAUGACUGGCUCUGACUGACAUUUGUGGAGCCUCUACUAUACUGACUAUAGAUAGCUGGGACGUGACUCCAACUACCACUAAUCAAUACAUAUGAGUAUGAAAGUAAAGUACAUAAAUAACAUCUAACUGAAGUCCCCAAAGUAGGAGGACUCAUUAUCUGCUGGCUGGAAUCUGCAAUUAUCUGAUCGUGAUAUAUGGAUUACAACUAAACUGGUACCAACAUUAUUAAAUAAUGUAGCACAUUGACAUAUAUGUGGAUUAGUACUUUUGGAAUGUACUGAGCAUAUGGGGGUGAAUGCAUAAGUAAAACAAUAUCUCAAUGUUCGUAUAAACUUGUAAAAUAAUGUAUGCUAAGUAUAAAUGACUCACAUUGGCUGGAAUAACUGAAAGCUGAAAAUCAUGAAUCAUGAAUGAUAAAACAUACUAUAAAAAUCUUGUAAGUCAUAACACUUAGUUCUAAAAGUUGUACUUUUACUCUUUCUACUAGUGGACUAAGUAGAAUUGAAGUUAAGUCUGUUUUCAAAUCAUACAGGCUAAGUGAAAAAGGACUCACCUUUGUAUCUGUAAACUAAAAGUUGAAACCUCAUAGCUAAUGACUUGUGUAAAACAAUACAACAACAAACCUAGUGUAUUCUCACAAAGUGAGGUCUGGGGAAGGUAAAAUGUAUGCAGUCCAUACCGCUACCUCUGAAGAAGUAGAGAGGUUGUUCCUAAUAGACCCUUGGCUCAGGAUAGAGAAUAGUACACAAGGUCAUAGUAAAACAUGAAGCAAGAUAGAUGACAUAUUAGAAAAAAGGAAUAAGAAAUAAUAAAAUAGAUAUCAGAGAAAUAUGAGCAAUACAAAAUACGAAAUAAGAAAUAAGAAAUAGGACACCCACCUUGUAGUAACAUACACUCACAGACCAAAGACACCUACCACACCCGAACUCUCUUGACUAGAGGGUCCUACUUAUGGACAUAGUCCUAGUAUUACUAACCCAGCUACACAAGAGCUCUCCUAAUACUUGUUACAACCCGCAUACUCACACUAGUCUUCUACCCUUAUCCGCGGCCUCUACACCUUCCUAUCUAGGGUCAUGUCCUCAGUAAGCUAUAGUCGAUCCAUGUCAUGUCUAAUCACCUCCAUUCAGUAUUUCUUUCGCUUACCUCUACUCUUUUUAAAGCCAUCUAAAUCUAGCCUCUCACACCUACGAACUGGGGCAUCCGUGCCCUUCCUCAUCACAUACCCAAACCAUCUCAGCCUUCCUUCUCGCAUCUUGUCCUUCACUGAAGACACUCUCAUCUUCUCCCUGAUAGUCUCAUUCCUAACUCUAUGCCCUCUAGUAAGUCUACACAUCCAAUGCAACAUCCUUAUUUCCGGCACCUUCAAUCUUUCAACGUGUGAGUUUUUGACUGGCCAACACUUCACUCUAUAUAGCAUGGCUGGAUGAACGACCACUCUGUAGAAUUUGCCUUUAAGCUUAAGGGGUACCUUUUUAUCACACAGCACUCCUGAGGUGAGCCUUCACUUCAUCCAACCUGCUCUAAUAUAUUUAGAGAAAUCCUCAUUAAUCUUGCCAUUCCCCUGAAUCAUAGACCCAAGAUAUUUAAAACUUCUUUCUUACAAACAUACUGGGAAUCCAACCUCACCACCACUUCAUCUUCUGGACUCGAGUCACUAAACUUGCAUACCAUAUACUCUGUCUUGGACCUACUCAACCUGAACCCCUUAGAUUUAAGGGUUUGCCUCCAAACCUUCAAUUUUUCAUUCACACCCUCCUACGUCUCAUCAAUCAGCACUACAUCAUCCGCAAAUAACAUACACCAAGGCAUCUCACCAUGAAUACUCUGCGCCAACACAUCCAUCACGAGGUGUUCCCUAUACUGUUUCAUCAAUCUCCUCACCAGGUGGAUUGCCUCUAUCAUCGAGCGACCAGGCAUAAAACUAAAACUGAUUCUACGAAAUGGACAUGACCCUCCUUGAUCUCCGCUCAACCACCCUCUCCCAAAUCUUCAUAGUGUGACUCAACAGCUUAAUACCCUUAUAGUUAUUGUAACUCUGAAUAUCAUCCUUAUUUUUAUAUAAUAGAAUCAUUGUACUCUAUCUCUAAGCCUUAGGAAUUCUCGAACUCUUGAAAAUAUCAUUAAACAAAUUAGUCAACCACCUUAAAUCUGCCUUACUAGUAUACUUCCAAAAAUCUACCAGAAUCUCAUCAGGCCCUAUCACCCUACCCCUCCGCAUCUUACGAAUAGCCUCUCCAACCUCCUCAACCUUAAAAUAUCUACAGUAACUGAAAUAACAUAUCUCCUUCGAGAGAUCCAACUCCCCUAACUCAAUGCCCUUGUCCCCUCCUUGUUCAAAAGUCUAUGAAAAUACUCAUGCCACUUCCUUAUGUAAAAUAAUAUUUGCAUAGAAUGAUGAGCCUGUACACUUAGUUUCUAAAGGUUGUUCUGUUAUUCUGUUUUAGGACUUAGGCUUUAGGGAGGUUCUUCUAAUCGACAUACACUAUGUGAACUAUCAUAGUGUCCAACGUCUAGUUACCCUAAGGAAAAAACCUCACGUUGAGGAAAUGUGUCAUACUCUUGUCAAGGAGUAUAACCUGAGCUAAGUGAUCACAAUCUGUAUCUGUAUCCAUAUAUAAAUGGAAUAUAAUAUUAAUUUGUACCUACGUUGGCUUAUAGUUCUGGGGAAGUAGGAUGCGCUAACCCAUACUUCCUGUUCUGUGAUAAAUACUACUCCCAUUAAUCUGUAUGCUUAAUCUAUAGGAAAUCCACUUUAAAACUAGCAUGAGGGUUUACUAUGAAAACCAGUUAUGCAUCUGUUUACUUUAAACAGUAGUCAAAACUUUAAAGUGGAUUCCAUAUCUAAGCUGAGGAUCAAAAUAUCAAAUCUUGUUCAAAAUAUGAGUAUUAACUAAUCAUAGGAUGCUUGAAAGCAUAAUCUUCUUGAAAUAUCGAUAUUCAAACUAAGGCUUAAUAACCCAUGCUUUAAAUUCAUGUCAAAUAAAAAUGAUACUUCAUGCUCAAUAAUCUUCUUGAAAUACUUCAAUAAUUUCAGUCAAGAUAAUGAAAUCAAAAUCACAAUAUGAAUCUUAUGGAUCAAAACAUGAGCAUGCGAAAUCUUAAUGCACUAAAGCCUUUAAAUCUCAUGCUUUCUUUCAUAUAACUUGCAACAUAAUAUCAUGCUUAAAUCUCAACUGAAAAUCUUUAAAUCAAGCAUAAAUAGAGGAAACAAGCAUGCACUUUAACACUUAAAUCAUUUUACAAAUCCAUAAACUCAAAACAAGAUAAAUUGUGUAUGAACCCUAAUUGCAAUAUACGUAAAUUCAACUUUAAAACUAGUUUUGGGCACAAGGAUGAAAGAG
Molecule: long non-coding RNA, 25318 nt
Filed under: Capsicum annuum
Lineage: Eukaryota; Viridiplantae; Streptophyta; Magnoliopsida; Solanales; Solanaceae
Description: long non-coding RNA (CANN_LNC012867)
Source: RNAcentral